This 169-nucleotide ribosomal RNA is filed under the name uncultured bacterium. RNAcentral's name for it is "partial 16S ribosomal RNA". It matches the Rfam family "Bacterial small subunit ribosomal RNA", at positions 338 to 524 of the family's 1533-position model. The record is from RNAcentral.
CCUACGGGAGGCAGCAGUGGGGAAUAUUGCACAAUGGAGGGAACUCUGAUGCAGCGACGCCGCGUGAGUGAAGAAGGUCUUCGGAUCGUAAAACUCUGUCCUUGGUGAAGAAAAGGACGGUAGCCAAGGAGGAAGCCCCGGCUAACUACGUGCCAGCAGCCGCGGUAAU